Long non-coding RNA from Macaca mulatta (Rhesus monkey), 2440 nucleotides. NCBI's taxonomy places the organism in Eukaryota, Metazoa, Chordata, Mammalia, Primates, Cercopithecidae. The record is from Ensembl.
AUUAGUGUGUAUGCUAAUAGACCCUAAUUAUUAUUUAUUUUUCUAUUUUAUUACACAUCACAGAGUUUCAGCAAUACAUAUUCCUUUACUUAUUAGCCUUUUGAAACUCCAAGACGUCAAGCUCCUUGUCUUCAAUGAAAAAAAGAUCACUUAGAAGACCAUGUACAAAACAGCUCAUGGAGUUCUUGAUUGGAGAGUGUACUUUGUAUUGUGUGCUGAGAAAAUAUUCUUGUACUAAAGAGUGUUCUAAGAUGGAUUCACCUACACUAAAAGUUUCACAUAUCUACAAUUGAAUGAUAACAAAAUACCUGCAGAUGGAAAACAGAAAAUUAAAUUGAUUUACACUGGUUUUGGUAGCUUCAGCGAAAUUGUUGUUGUAUUGAAGUGUAUCUUUUAUUUUUCUCCAAGGGGAAAAUAUUUUUUCCACUUUUUCUCCAAAUUUUAACGGUAUAAAAUAACAUAUAAAAGAACAUCAAGUUAAGACGCAGAAAUAAACACUGCUAUCCCACUGUCUCUCUUUGCUCUUAUGAAAAUGGCUAACAAAACAUUUAAUCUAAAUUAAAGGAAAACUCAUGCAGCUCUGCUAAAGGGAAAUUAUUGUCCACAUGCAGUGUACAAUAAGAAAUUAGUACUUGAUACAGUACAUAUUGAACUUGACCAGAGAAAUUCUCCAAGGAACACCUUACAUCUGAUCCUUUUCUUAAAAACAGUAAUGUUCCAGGGAAAUUAUUACAGAACACCUAAACAGAAGCCUAUUAAAAACAACUCAUUUGUAAUGAGACCUGGAAGCAAGGCAAGCCUUGAGUCAUAAAGGGAGUUUAUGAUUUAGACUUGUUUUUCUUAUCCAAAUACAAUCUAGUAUUUAAAAACAAUGAUAAUGAUGAUAUAUUGUAAUUUGAGGAGUGACUAAAAUAAACAGAAAGACAGCAGGACAUAGAGUUGGUACACCAGCGUAGUGGAGACAGCAACAGAAAAGAUAUGCCCCCAAACCACAAAUUUGACUAGUAUAGAGUUUGCCAAAACAGAGUGAUAGACAUAAGAAAUUGACUCCCGUUUUUACAGGUUCACCAUUCCCUGAGAAGGAGAGAGGCAGCUGCCCUGAGAAGGAGAGAGGCAGCUGUGAGGCUCCUCUUUUAGGUUAUUCCAGGGUUUCUUGCUGCUAACCUCAAGUCGCUUUAUCUCCAAACUGAUAGGCUCCUCUUUUAGGUUAUUCCAGGGUUUCUUGCUGCUAACCUCAGGUCGCUUUAUCUCCAAACUGAUACUGCAACUUUAUAUCAACCACUUCUACAGCUUAACAUUUCUGUUUUGAAUGGACUUCGAAUGAGAAGAAACGCUUGGAUCAGACAGGUAAUUUAAUGACAUAAGCAAGAAUGAGAGAUACCAUUUAGCAAAGCAAUAGAUGAGUCAUAAAAUAUGAAGUUAUGUGCACUUUUUUUUCCUGUACUAGGUUUUAUGUUAUUCUGGUCAUAAGAAUAUAUACAUUUUUUUAAUUUUAGGAAGUAAAUUUUUGGAGGUAAGUUCAAGAUUCCUUGAAUUUUUUAGAUAUAUUCAUUCAAAUAGCAACCGAAACAUGCCCCCAGGAUAAUAGAUUAGCAUAUGUCACAUGACUAGGAAAUACCUACACUUCAAUCUUCAAAAUCCUGGAUCCAUCAGAUUCAAGCAUCUUCUUAGGGAAUUGUUAGACUGUUGACUAGUUUGGGGAUUGUUCUGGAAGUAUAGAGUGAGAUGAUAAAUUUGAACAUUUCCUUUGGGUCCCAGGAAAACCCAUAUAAAUGUCUGGUGGCAUGUGACAUAACCUCAUAAACUGAGUGUGUGUCAUUCUUCCUCCCUCGCAGAGUCUGGCUUAUACCUAAGAGGCAGAAAAUGUGGAAUACAUACUUUCUUUGUUUUUCUUGUUAAAAGGCAUGUAACAGAAACAAACCCUGGAAAUGUUUUCUUACAUAAUAAAGACUCAUCCAUGAAAGCACCCCCUUGACAACUGCAGAAAUAGUUGUUCCGAUGUGUGAUGCCUGGAAGUAUUGCAGCCAUCCCAUGUCCAAGACGAGAGGCAUCAUUAGCACGUUGAAAACUGCAAAGUAACUUUAUGCUUAAUAUGAAAAUGUUUGUCUAUUCACCUCUGGAACUCUCUGCCUCUGAUCUUUUCAUCAAAUAGUAUGAGGUAUAAGUCUUCAUGUGCUAGUUUUCUGGCUUCUGUUGAUUCCCUUCCCUGAUGUCCAUCCUGGUGAAAAUGAACAAUUGUUCCAGUUUUCAUCAUCUUUCAAAGGCAUCUUUUCUGCAAUCUCAAAUGUCCUGUUCAUUAGCUACUGAUUUUAUAGUUUUGAUUCCUUGAUUCUGUCAUAAGAAAUAAUGUCAGAAAAUUACAGAAAUUAUAAAAAGGAGGAAAGAUUAUUAAUAUAUAAACAUUUAUAUUGUAGCUCACAUUUUUUAAACUCAAAUUUAG